AUCCUUAGUCAACGAGCUAUACUUGACAAAUGGUUGGAUAUUGACAAUUAGAUUAGAUGCUAUAAAUUAGACUUCAUAGUUGAUAAAAUCUAAUGUAUGCAUAAGGACAUAUUGACUGUCAAUGACUUGCUGAUUCAUUUACAAAAGUUAUGAGAUGAUCAAAGUCACAUAGUACAUGAGAUACGUGAUAGGCAGUUUGUCCAUGAUCGAUGAUCAAGGACAUUGAAGAGCUUGAAAGACUUGACAUG
RNAcentral lists this long non-coding RNA (248 nucleotides) under Elaeis guineensis (African oil palm). RNAcentral describes it as "long non-coding RNA (EGUI_LNC043585)". Lineage: Eukaryota; Viridiplantae; Streptophyta; Magnoliopsida; Arecales; Arecaceae. The record is from RNAcentral.